UAUAUAAUAUGAAUUUAAAAUUUUAAUAAAAAUUAAAAAUUUGUUAAAAUUUUUUUGUGGGACGAUAAGACCCUAUAGAAUUUUAUAUAAAAUAAAUUUUAUAUUAAUAUAAAAUUUAUUUUUAUAUUUAAUUGGGAGAAUUAUUAAAUUUAAUAAAUUUUAAUUUUUAUAAACUUAAAUUAAAGAAAAGUUAUUGAUUUGAAAUUUUUAAUUAUUAGUAUAAAUUACCCUUAGGGAUAACAGCGUAAUAUUUUUUUAUAGAUCUUAUAGAAAAAAAUGAUUGCGACCUCGAUGUUGAAUUAAGAUAAAUUUUAAAUGUAGAAGUUUAAUAAUUAAGUCUGUUCGACUUUUAAAAUCUUACAUGACUUGAGUUCAAAUCGACGUGAGU
RNAcentral lists this ribosomal RNA (388 nucleotides) under Melipona melanoventer. Its description in RNAcentral is "partial 16S ribosomal RNA". The stretch from base 236 to 388 matches the Rfam family "Bacterial large subunit ribosomal RNA", at positions 2473 to 2626 of the family's 2925-position model. Lineage: Eukaryota; Metazoa; Arthropoda; Insecta; Hymenoptera; Apidae. The record is from RNAcentral.